AUAACCGCGGGAAACUGUGGCUGAGAAGUGCGGUGAGGCUCCGACCUAUCAGCUUGUCGGUACGAUAAGGGCGUACGGAGGCGAUGACGGGUAACGGAGGAUGAUGUCUGAUUCCGGAGAGGGAGCCUGAGAGACGGCUGCCACGUCCAAGGACGGCAGCAGGCGCGCAACUUACCCAAUGAGCAUUGAGGUAGUGACGAGGCGUAGGAUGUGAGACGAGUGUAAAGAACUCGACGAGAGCGACUGGAGGGCAAGUCUGGUGCCAGCAGCCGCGGUAAUUCCAGCUCCAGGGGCGUCUGUGUGUGUUGCUGCGGUUAAAAAGCGCGUAGUUUGUGGCGCGGCUGGUUGUUUUAGUGUA
This 358-nucleotide ribosomal RNA is filed under the name Parathelohania iranica. RNAcentral's name for it is "SSU rRNA". It matches the Rfam family "Microsporidia small subunit ribosomal RNA", at positions 124 to 488 of the family's 1311-position model. The record is from RNAcentral. Lineage: Eukaryota; Fungi; Microsporidia; Amblyosporidae.